GACGAACCGUGCAAACGUUGUUCGGAUUCACUGGGCUUAAAGGGCGCGUAGGCGGGCGGUCAAGUCAGGGGUGAAAUCUUUCGGCUCAACCGGAAAAGUGCCUUUGAUACUGGCCGUCUCGAGGGAGGUAGGGGCAUGCGGAACUUCCGGCGGAGCGGUGAAAUGCGUAGAUAUCGGAAGGAACGCCGGUGGCGAAAGCGGCGUGCUGGACCUCUUCUGACGCUGAGGCGCGAAAGCCAGGGGAGCAAACGGG
This 253-nucleotide ribosomal RNA is filed under the name uncultured bacterium. RNAcentral describes it as "partial 16S ribosomal RNA". It matches the Rfam family "Bacterial small subunit ribosomal RNA", at positions 524 to 776 of the family's 1533-position model. The record is from RNAcentral.